AAUCAACGCUGGCGGCGUGCCUCAGACAUGCAAGUCGAACGAUUAAAGCUCUCUUCGGAGAGUGCAUAGAGUGGCGCACGGGUGAGUAACACGUAAGUAAUCUACCUUCGAGUGGGGAAUAACGUCCGGAAACGGACGCUAAUACCGCAUAAUGCAGCGGCAUCGCAAGAUGACAGUUGUUAAAGGAGCAAUUCGCUUGAAGAGGAGCUUGCGGCAGAUUAGCUUGUUGGUAAGGUAACGGCUUACCAAGGCUACGAUCUGUAACCGGUCUAAGAGGACGGUCGGUCACACUGACACUGAAUAACGGGUCAGACUCCUACGGGAGGCAGCAGUCGGGAAUUUUGGGCAAUGGGCGAAAGCCUGACGCAGCGACGCCGCGUGAGGGAUGACGGCCUCGGUUGUAACU
Molecule: ribosomal RNA, 406 nt
Filed under: uncultured bacterium
Lineage: Bacteria
Description: bacterial SSU rRNA
Rfam family: Bacterial small subunit ribosomal RNA
Source: RNAcentral